UAGUCACGAGGUGCAUCAUUUAAUGGCGGGUACUCAUCAGUUAACUGGAGGAUUUACACCAAUGUCAUGGGUUAAAUGACGAAGACCAACUUCCAGAAUAGUCAUGGUCAAAUAUUCCCUUGUGUUCAAAUUCUUGAAAGAGAAAGAUAAUGUUAUUCUACUGUUUCUCCAAAGGAUUAUGGUAUGCAAAAUUAUAAAUGAAUGAAUAAAUAAAUAAAAACAGAAAAUAAAAUAAAAUCAGGCAUUCAAAAAGACAAAAAAAAAAAAAAAAAACAACACCAUCUGAUCACUCGCAGACUUGUAGUGAGAGUGAAACACUUUGUCUCAGGUAAGAUUUUAAAAAUAGAGCACGAAGAUGAACAUGUCAUUGGUUAUGUCCAAGCAUUAAUUUGUGCUGUAAUAUUUUCUGAAUAAAAGUCAAGUCUGACACCAUGCGCUGCUGCUGCACCAACCACACCAUGGAUCCUGCCUUGGGUCCUGGAUGGCAACCACUCAGGCAGCCAACUAUUCCAUGCCAACAGCUGGAACAUAAACAUCCAUCUGCCACAGCUGAAGUAAAGCUUCAUGGCCUUCCCCAGCCACUAGAGUCCUCAACACUGAGGCACCAGUGUGCUGGACAAUGCACACAGAAACACACCACA
Long non-coding RNA from Thalassophryne amazonica, 641 nucleotides. RefSeq lists it as uncharacterized. Lineage: Eukaryota; Metazoa; Chordata; Actinopteri; Batrachoidiformes; Batrachoididae. The transcript is spliced from 3 exons. The record is from RefSeq and is a predicted model, not a curated record.